Molecule: ribosomal RNA, 441 nt
Filed under: uncultured bacterium
Lineage: Bacteria
Description: partial 16S ribosomal RNA
Rfam family: Bacterial small subunit ribosomal RNA
Source: RNAcentral
CCUACGGGAGGCAGCAGUCGGGAAUAUUGCACAAUGGAGGAAACUCUGAUGCAGUGACGCCGCGUGCAGGAAGAAGGCUUUCGGCUUGUAAACUGCUUUAGACAGGGAAGAAACAAGACAGUACCUGUAGAAUCAGCUCCGGCUAACUCCGUGGCAGCAGCAGCGGUAAUACGUAGGGAGCAAGCGUGAUCCGGAUUUAUUGGGUGUAAAGGGUGCGUAGACGGGAAUUUAAGUUAGGUGUGAAAUCCCUCGGCUUAACCGAGGAACUGCAACUAAAAUUGAAUUUCUUGAGUGCGGGAGAGGAAAGUGGAAUUCCUGGUGUAGCGGUGAAAUGCGUAGAUAUCAGGAGGAACACCAGUGGCGAAGGCGACUUGCUGGACCGUAACUGACGUUGAGGCACGAAAGUGUGGGGAGCAAACAGGAUUAGAUACCCUUGUAGUC